This 268-nucleotide long non-coding RNA is filed under the name Manihot esculenta (cassava). Its description in RNAcentral is "long non-coding RNA (MESC_LNC001318)". Lineage: Eukaryota; Viridiplantae; Streptophyta; Magnoliopsida; Malpighiales; Euphorbiaceae. The record is from RNAcentral.
AUUUCAUGAUUUUCAUGGAAUGCAACACAUCACAAACAAAUCACAUAAAGGAUGAAUUUGUCACCAAUAGCCCUCUACAUAGUCCAACUGUGCCAGGGACGUAGAAUGGGUCUUCCUGGACUUUCUCUUACAUAGCAUAACAUAACAUAACAGUCCAACUGUGCCAGGGACGUAGAAUGGGUCUGCCUGGACUUUCUCUUACAUAGUGCCAGCGAACGUAGAAUGGGUCCCACUGGUCUUUCAUUCCAUACCAUACAUAUCAUAUCAU